AUACUUACCUGGCAGGGGAAGACAUCAUGAUCACGAAGGUGGUUUUCCCAGAGUGAGGCUCAUCCAUUGCACUGCGGGUGUGCUGACCCCUGCCAUUUCCCCAAGUGCAGGAAACUCAACUGCAUAAUUUGCC
Molecule: small nuclear RNA, 133 nt
Filed under: Terrapene triunguis (Three-toed box turtle)
Lineage: Eukaryota; Metazoa; Chordata; Testudines; Emydidae
Description: Terrapene carolina triunguis (Three-toed box turtle) U1 spliceosomal RNA (ENSTMTG00000005316.1)
Rfam family: U1 spliceosomal RNA
About the family: U1 is a small nuclear RNA (snRNA) component of the spliceosome (involved in pre-mRNA splicing). Its 5' end forms complementary base pairs with the 5' splice junction, thus defining the 5' donor site of an intron.
Source: Rfam by way of RNAcentral